CCUUCGCCACUGUCUAUUCUUCUUUUCUUCCCUUGCAGCGGCCUUUUUUGGCUCCCCCUUCACUCUUCUGCUCAGCUACUCUUCUCCUCCUCUCCCUUCCUCUUUUCUGGCCUCCCUAUUCUUUUCCUCUCUUCUUUCUUCCACUCGGCUCUCAAUUUGCUCGACAACUCUCUUCUCCUCUCUCUCAACUAAUUGGCUCCUCUCUCCUUCUCUCUCUCUUUUUUGGCUUCUCUCUAAAAUGAAGAAAACCCUAAUCUUUUUUCCCUUUUAUAUC
RNAcentral lists this long non-coding RNA (274 nucleotides) under Carica papaya (papaya). RNAcentral describes it as "long non-coding RNA (CPAP_LNC013575)". The record is from RNAcentral. Lineage: Eukaryota; Viridiplantae; Streptophyta; Magnoliopsida; Brassicales; Caricaceae.